Molecule: long non-coding RNA, 1568 nt
Filed under: Homo sapiens (human)
Lineage: Eukaryota; Metazoa; Chordata; Mammalia; Primates; Hominidae
Description: HSALNT0397594
Source: RNAcentral
CCUUCCCCAGCCCUGCCCCCGCAGACUCCCCCUGCCGCCAAGACUUCCAAUAAAACCUGCUGCAGCGCGCCUUCGCCGCCAAAGCAUCCAGCAGCCCCCUGCUCCGGCCCAGCAUGGCGACCCCGACCCAGACCCCCACAAAGGCUGGCCAGGAGUAGUGCACAUUCCUUUGCCUGACUCCUGGCCCCACCCUUAGCCCAGCCACGCCUGAGGGCCCAGGUUGCCGGGGCAGCAGGGACCAGAGGAGGAUCUUCCGCAUGGAGGAGGAUCUUCCACAUGGAACACCAGAUUCUGGGACAGGGGCUCACCCAGUGGGCUCCCGAUAACUUUGGGGAAGGACGGGUGUGUGGAAAACAGACAAGUGAGACAAUCCACCUUUUACAGCCUCCUGCAGCCUAGGACUGCCUCAUAAUCAUUCCUUCAUUCAUUCAUCCCAGAAAACUUGAAGAGCCUUUCAUAAAUGUCAGGAUGAACAGCAGUGAUGAGUCAAACAAAUUUACUCUCUGGUGGGGAAACUUACACAGAGCACAAGGGACCCUGAAGCAGCGUCUCACCAUCUUGGCGCUUUUGAGUACUACCGUCACAAUUUUUGCUUUAUUCAAAUAUUCCUCACACUGCUAUUUAUUUAAUUUUUUUCCUUAAAAGGAUUAGCUUUUUUAUUUUUAUUUUUUGAGACAAGGUCUCACUCUGUCGCCUAGGCUGGAGUGCAAUGGCACGAUCACAGCUCACUGCAGCCUCAACAUCCUGGGCUCAAUCUAUCCUCCUGCCUCAGCCUCCCAAGUAGCUGGGACUACAAGGCACUUCUGCUACACCCAGCUAAUUUUUGUAUUUUUCAUAGAGACUGCUUUUGCUAUGUUUCCCAGCCUGGUCUCAAACUUCUGGGCUCAAGCAAUUCACCCACUUUGGCUUCCCAAAGUGCUUAGGAUGACAGGCGUGGGCCACCAUGCCCAACCCAGGAUUAGCUUUUGAAAACAACGAGCUUUAUUUUAUAGCACCAUCACAACUGGAAAAUUAAUCUUCUUUUUUUUUUUGAGACAGAGUCUCGCUCUGUCAUCCAGGCUGGAGUGCAGUGGCACGAUCUUGGCUUACUGCAACCUCUGCCUCCCGGGUUCAAGCAAUUCUUCUGCCUCAGCCUCCCAAGUAGCUGGGACUAGCAGCGGCACACCACCACACCCAGCUAAUUUUUGUAUUGUUAGUACAGAUGGGGUUUCACCAUAUUGGCCAGGCUGGUCUCAAACUCCUGACCUCGUGAUCCGCCCACCUUGUAUUCCCAAAGUGCUGGGAUUACAGGCAUGAAUCACUGUGCCCAGCUGGAAAAUUCAUCUUCUUUUUGCCUUAAGUUGAAGGCAGCAUAAGAGCAAUCUGAAGCAGGUGAUUUCGCUUUUCUGGGUCUGGUGUCCCCCUUCCAGGAAAUGGGGAUGAAGAUCGCACCCAUAUGAAAGAGUUGCUAUGAAGAUUAAGAGUAAAUGCGCUGAUAUCUGUCAGAUGCUUAGCAGGGAGGCUGGAAUGGAGUCAGGGCUACCCACUGCUGGUUACAUCAAUAAAUAAAGGAGAAAACCAAAUAAUGC